CCCGCGGUAUAAAGGGCCGGCGGGGCGGGUGUGGUCGGUUGUGUGUGAGGGCUGCGGGCGCGGCCCCGCUGCUGCCCGGGCUGCGGAGGGGAGAGCGCCUUGGCCGCUGGCCUGGCUCGUGGUUUCCCCUGGUGCUGGGGAGUGGAGGCGAGUUGUGCUUCCUGCUGGGAGAGAGAAGGGCCUUGGGAAGCUGCUCCAUGAGCCACAGCUGUGCCGAGCCUGGGAGUCUGUCCAGCAGGAUGUCGAGUGCCACCAUGUCCCCAAGGUCAACCUUUCUGCUGUUGGGAGAGCAUGAGGUGGAUGGAGAGGAUCCCCAGCCAUCUGCAGGCAAAAGGGACUGGCACAACUGCGAUUUUUCUCCAGCUCUCUUAAGGUGGACUUUCAGGGUACCGUGGGUAAUGUGCCAGCUCUCCUGCUGGCGUUUUUGUCUUCUGCUCUAUUUGAACAUCAAGAGUAAAACUAAAGUCAGGUGUGUUCUGGAGUAUGUUACACUCGGGCAAAGCUCCUUCCCUCUGUUUAUUUUCUGUUCUGGAAAGCACAGUCUGGGGUUCCUGGGCACUUCCUCUUAAAUGAUUCCAUGAAAAUAAUUUUGUACUGAAAGGAGAAAGGAGCUGUCUGUUUGAGAUCAGAUGUCACUGAUAAAAGCUUGAUGUUUUUUCACUCAGUAAGCUUUUAAAAUAUCUCAUAGUGUGUAGCAAUGCCUGGCUUCUAAAACUCACCAAUUGAGUCUUAAAAGUUUCUUUGAAGAGCUGAGUUCAGGCAGCAGAAUUGGCCCUGCAGGAGGGACUCUGUGCCUGCUCUCCCGUGGCUCCAAGGGAUCUCUGGGCCUUCACGCCGGCACCGAGAUUUUCUUGGGAAGGGCCUCAGAUCCCCGGACCAGUCUGGGACACAGGCAAGAUCCCCCUGCAUUUAUAAAUGAGGCCUUCUUGUGGCUUCCUACCCGUACCUGUUGGUGGGUUCCAAAGAAGGACUCUUGAAAUGCCUUUUGGGCUGUCCAUUGAAACCUUGGGACCAAAUUGGGCCCCCCUGGAGGGACAGUGCUGUUGGUGCCCCCCGGGUUGGGGCACCCCGAGGACUCCAGCGCGCACCGAAAGGAUUAUUCGGGGAGAUCCACGGGGUGCCCAGCCCUGGGGAGUUCAAAGCAAGCUCCCUGCAAUGGAUUCAGGCAUUGCUGAGAGUAUCCCAGGUAUAGCUGUCCAUGCUAGAGAUGGAGCUCUCUAAUGGACUGUAAUUGGGUUCUAAAAGUGGUGCUCCAAGUGCAAAGGAAGUGUGGGAUUGGGAUUAAGAAACGAGCAGUGAUGGUACAAUUGGCUGUUUUCUCUUGAAUGUAAUGGUAAGAGCUACAGGAGUGCAAGGUGUGUGUUCCAGUCCCCAGCAUUUGGUUUGCAUGUGUCCUGGUCAGACACAGGUCCAACUUCCUCAGUCCUUAACCCAGUCGAGGGAGAAUUAAGGACUGGCAGUGUUAAGGUGAUUGGUGUGACAGGGGUUAAACUGGGAAAACAUUGGGGAAUUCUUCAGUUUGUCUCUUUGCCAAACUCAGCCAAACCUGUGCUAGGAAGAGAUUGAGUGGAAAAGUUGAGGCAGAAAUGAAAUUGAAAACUGGGGAUAUUGAAACAGUAAUUGCUGGAACUAAAUGUGUCAAAGCAGCAGCUCUUGUUGUGCAGGGAAUAACUCCUGUCAGCAGCAAGGUCCCAAGUGAAGUGGCAGCUGCAGUUGUUCCUGUGGUGUGGGCCAGUGGACUUGCAGGAGAGUGGAAGAGGGCAGAACCUGUAGGUAUUACCCCUAAUGUGGGAUCUAUAUGGGUAAGGCAAAGCCAGUAUCCUUUAAAAUCAGAAUGCCAGCUUGGAUUGGUUGCAGUAACAGCUAAAUUGGCUCAUCCUGGUUUGCUUGUGGGACGUGAAUGCAAGAACCUGCGGAGAAAAGCAAUGACCAAGAUGAUUGAUUAGUGCAGGACCUGAGAGAACCACCUUGAAUGACAAUCUCAAGGAGUUUGCAGUAUUGCAUUUAAAAGAUGGCCUUUGCUGCAUCUUCUUGAGCAAGGAAAGCCAAGAAAGCUUUGCCUUUGAAGAAGAAAAUCUGGAAAGGGGAAAGGAAGAAGAGAAGCCACUUGACUCCUCCUGAGCCCCAGACAGCCCAUGAACUGCCUUCCUGGGAAUGGUAGGAUGGGGUGGACUCUGGAUUGCUCCCUCUGGAUGUGUGGAACUCCAGGAACUCCUGGUACCGCCUGGGCCGAUGGAUUGGACGCUCCAGCCCCUCUGUUCCUGCCCAGCCCCUGGGUCUGUGUCAAGGGGUGGCACUGCCAGCCCCUGCAGUAGGAUGUAGCCUGGAAACUGCACAGAGCUGAGCCAAGGGAUUUAAAGGGACUAACCAAGGGAGGCGAAGAAAGAAGGAAGAAGGGAAGUGAGGCAGCAGCCAAGCAGCACCAAGUGCCUGUGUAAGCAGGUGAGUUGUCUUGAGGUUCUUAAGGCAGGCACUGAGGACUUUGAGGGCUCCAGACAGAGCAGACCUGCGAAGGGCCUCGGUGAAGCCCCUUGGAAACCUUCUAAGGGUAGGUGUGUAUGGUAACGAGUGUUGGAAUAUGUCCUGAGUAGGGAUUAGAAAUGCAGGGAAGGAAAAUGAACCCUCCUGUAAUGCUGCCAUAUCAGCUGCAGUGGAUAGCUCUGUGUGCCCUUUGGGAGCUGAUUGCCAGGACUCCCGGUGGGCUGGGAUCAUGGCAGGGUGUUGUAAGCAAGGAAUGCCUGGCUUCUAAACCUCACCAGCUGAAUCUUAGAGGCUUCUUUGAAGAGCUGAGUUCAGGCAACAGAAUUGGCCCUGCAGGAGGGACUCUGUGCCUGCUCUCCCGUGGCUCCAAGGGAUCUCUGGGCCUUCACGCCAGCACCGAGAUUUUUCUUGGGAAGGGCCUCAGAUCCCCGGACCAGUCUGGGACACAGGCAAGAUCCCCCUGCAUUUAUAAAUGAGGCCUUCUUGUGGCUUCCUACCCGUACCUGUUGGUGGGUUCCAAAGAAGGACUCUUGAAAUGCCUUUUGGGCUGUCCAUUGAAGCCUUGGGACCAAAUUGGGCCCCCCUGGAGGGACAGUGCUGUUGGUGCCCCCCGGGUUGGGGCACCCCGAGGACUCCAGCGCGCACCGAAAGGAUUAUUCGGGGAGAUCCACGGGGUGCCCAGCCCUGGGGAGUUCAAAGCAAGCUCCCUGCAAUGGAUUCAGGCAUUGCUGAGAGUAUCCCAGGUAUAGCUGUCCAUGCUAGAGAUGGAGCUCUCUAAUGGACUGUAAUUGGGUUCUAAAAGUGGUGCUCCAAGUGCAAAGGAAGUGUGGGAUUGGGAUUAAGAAACGAGCAGUGAUGGUACAAUUGGCUGUUUUCUCUUGAAUGUAAUGGUAAGUGCUGCAGGAGUGCAAGGUGUGUGUUCCAGUCCCCAGCAUUUGGUUUGCACAUGUCCUGGUCAGACACAGGUCCAACUUCCUCAGUCCUUAACCCAAUCGAGGGAGAAUUAAGGACUGGCAGUGUUAAGGUGAUUGGUGUGACAGGGGUUAAAGUGGGAAAAACAAACUGGGUAAUUCCUCAGUUUCCCUCUUUGCCAAACUCAGCCAAACCUGUGCUCGGAAGAGAUGGACUGGAGUCUCUGAUCUCCUGAGUAGUUCUUCUGCAUGAUCUGGGAGCCUCUGGGAUUAGACUGGACUGGGCAGACAGGGAGCAGUUUGUCCUGUGGAGUUGGGCUGAGUUUGUUCAGGAUGCCUUGGGAGGCAGGGCUGGAGAGGCUCCUCUGUUGGCUGUAGUGGUGGAAGGUUGUAGCAGGAGGGAUGGAGCCUUCGACCUCCUGCUCCCCCCGUGAGCCCCGACGAGACCGUGCCCUUGGCAAUGGAGGGCCCCCCAUUGCUGAGCCAGCGGUUCCGGGGGCCAGGAGGGAUGAGAUCAGGAUGCCGAACUCCGCCCAGGGCCAGGGCUGCCAAUGUAACCAUGGAGGGAACUGAAAGCAGAGUGAGAUGGAGGCCAAGCUCCAGCACAAGGAUGGGUGAGGAAAGACCGUGGUCCUCAGGUGGAGCUUUGAAUUCCCUGGAAAAAUGGAUCCUGUCAGAUGGUUCAGGCCCUCGUGGGUGCUGGAGCAGAGGCCUCUUUAAUUUAUGGUCACCCUAAAAGGUUGCAAGGGCAGCAAGUUUUGACUGCAGGAUGAGGUGGGAAACCAAGUGAAGUGGUCCAGAGAAAAGCUGAGCUUAAAAUUGGUCCUGUGCCAGAGCAGCCUUGUGCAGGUGCUUGUUGCUGUCCCUGGGUGUCCCAUUGCAGUGGAUAUUUCCAAGGGCUGCCUUGUGCUGGGGAACACUGAGGGCAGUUCCCUUUCCCUGGGCAUGUUUCCCCCCCUCAAGGGUGGCUCCACAGUCCCACCCUCUGCCCUGGGAGUGUGGCAGAACACCUGGAGCCACUGUCCUUGUCAGAGAGGGGACAAGGGAUGGUUGGAUGGGUGAGGGAAUGGUUCAGGGAGUACAAGCACCAUUAGAGUGAGUAGUGCAGCACGUGGAAAGAAAGGGGGGGAGUUAAUCCAGACAGAAUUCAAGCUCAUGGAGCAAUUCAACAGGCUCCGGACCUGUGGCCAAUACGAGCCAGAGAGGGGGAACUAAAGGUUCCUGCCAGUGCUAAUGAUGCCACUUGGAGCCUCUGGCAGAAGUAGGGUAGGAAGGAAGUGCCCUUAGGAUUUGGGAAUAGGAAGUUACUGGAACCC
This is a long non-coding RNA of Pseudopipra pipra, 4708 nucleotides long. RefSeq lists it as uncharacterized. The record is from RefSeq and is a predicted model, not a curated record. The transcript is spliced from 6 exons. Lineage: Eukaryota; Metazoa; Chordata; Aves; Passeriformes; Pipridae.